GUUGCGAAAAUUCGCCAUUUCGUCACAACACAACACUUUGAAAUUGAGCAAAACACUUGUGAUGGCGUCGCGGUGCGAAAUGAAUGUAACCUAAUAUUCGAGGGACCCGCAAAUACGGCGCUCACUUGUCUUGAAGACGUAA
Molecule: non-coding RNA, 142 nt
Organism: Caenorhabditis elegans
Lineage: Eukaryota; Metazoa; Nematoda; Chromadorea; Rhabditida; Rhabditidae
Source: Ensembl